RNAcentral lists this ribosomal RNA (490 nucleotides) under uncultured bacterium. RNAcentral describes it as "partial 16S ribosomal RNA". It matches the Rfam family "Bacterial small subunit ribosomal RNA", at positions 30 to 507 of the family's 1533-position model. The record is from RNAcentral.
AUUGAACGCUGGCGGCAUGCCUUACACAUGCAAGUCGAACGGCAGCAUGAUCUAGCUUGCUAGAUUGAUGGCGAGUGGCGAACGGGUGAGUAAUACAUCGGAACGUGCCCUGUAGUGGGGGAUAACUAGUCGAAAGAUUAGCUAAUACCGCAUACGACCUGAGGGUGAAAGUGGGGGACCGCAAGGCCUCAUGCUAUAGGAGCGGCCGAUGUCUUAUUAGCUAGUUGGAGAGGUAAAGGCUCACCAAGGCGACGAUCAGUAGCUGGUCUGAGAGGACGAUCAGCCACACUGGGACUGAGACACGGCCCAGACUCCUACGGGAGGCAGCAGUGGGGAAUUUUGGACAAUGGGCGAAAGCCUGAUCCAGCAAUGCCGCGUGUGUGAAGAAGGCCUUCGGGUUGUAAAGCACUUUUGUCCGGAAAGAAAUGGCUCUGGUUAAUACCUGGGGUCGAUGACGGUACCGGAAGAAUAAGGACCGGCUAACUACGUG